GUCACAGCCAGGCAGCUGUAGCCGGAACCCAAACCUCCAUCGGCCUCAUCUGCCGUCCCUGAAGCUUCUCCGGUGAUAGCAGUGACUCAAGAGGCUUUUUCCGAGGUUCAGGGAGCAGGACCCCCAAGGAGGGGGUCCCUGAGGUCAAGGACUUCUAGGAGCGAUGCCUGCAGCCCUCCAUCGCCAGUGCAACACCUGCGGGAAUGAGGACUGCCUGUUGCUCCAUAUUUGGGACCCCAGGGCAAGAAGCCCACCCAUCAGGAGUGCCAAUACCUCCACCUACCUGUGGCCCCAUCCUCCCAGAUGCCCAACUGCCCAUAUGAUCAUGUGGACGAUUCCCAUGAGGCUACAGAGACACCCUUUGCCACCUGCUCUAUACUGGCCAUCUCCUGUCAGAUUUGCCUCCUGGACCGUCUCUGCCAGAACUGGAUAAGGUAUGGAUGUGACUUUCAAUCCUCUGAAGAGUGUGGCUGAGCCCUGGACCAGCUGAAAAUCCCCCAGGCUCUGCCAGCCUCACGGCCCAGGUGGGCUUCCUAUGGCUAGAUAUUCGGGCCUCACAGCAGCUGUGCCAGGCCCACAUUUUCUACACGCACCUUGAGGAUCUCAAGUCAAUGGGGCCAAAGCUCCAGUGUCAACAUUGCAAACUCGAGCUCCUGCUGAAAUCCCAGCACCAGGUGGAGCAACACCUGGAGAGCUGGUGCUAGCUGCAGAGGUGCAACCCCUGAGAACACUGGACACAACACCGUCCACGGCUCCGGCAUCACCCUUCACGGGAGCAGCGAUGGAUGAGCUCGAGCCAGCCCAGGCCCCGUGGGAACCUCCAGCCCUCCUGCUCCAGCCAGGGCUUCAUACAGGAAGUGA
Long non-coding RNA from Choloepus didactylus (southern two-toed sloth), 861 nucleotides. RefSeq lists it as uncharacterized. The transcript is spliced from 6 exons. Lineage: Eukaryota; Metazoa; Chordata; Mammalia; Pilosa; Megalonychidae. The record is from RefSeq and is a predicted model, not a curated record.